Molecule: small RNA, 96 nt
Filed under: Flavobacterium glaciei
Lineage: Bacteria; Pseudomonadati; Bacteroidota; Flavobacteriia; Flavobacteriales; Flavobacteriaceae
Description: Flavo-1 RNA
Rfam family: Flavo-1 RNA
Source: RNAcentral
CUUUAGCCCAGAUAGAAGCGGCAUCCUUUUGCAAAGCUGCCAGCCUUCAAAAGGCUGGCAGCUUUGCAAAAGAUAUAGCGGAUAGCUGUAAAUAGC